RNAcentral lists this ribosomal RNA (1343 nucleotides) under Microbacterium sp. R-4-M-5. RNAcentral describes it as "bacterial SSU rRNA". It matches the Rfam family "Bacterial small subunit ribosomal RNA", at positions 97 to 1451 of the family's 1533-position model. The record is from RNAcentral. Lineage: Bacteria; Bacillati; Actinomycetota; Actinomycetes; Micrococcales; Microbacteriaceae.
GGCGAACGGGUGAGUAACACGUGAGCAAUCUGCCCCUGACUCUGGGAUAAGCGUUGGAAACGACGUCUAAUACCGGAUACGAGCUACGGCCGCAUGGUCGGUAGUUGGAAAGAAUUUUGGUCAGGGAUGAGCUCGCGGCCUAUCAGCUUGUUGGUGAGGUAAUGGCUCACCAAGGCGUCGACGGGUAGCCGGCCUGAGAGGGUGACCGGCCACACUGGGACUGAGACACGGCCCAGACUCCUACGGGAGGCAGCAGUGGGGAAUAUUGCACAAUGGGCGCAAGCCUGAUGCAGCAACGCCGCGUGAGGGACGACGGCCUUCGGGUUGUAAACCUCUUUUAGCGAGGAAGAAGCGAAAGUGACGGUACUCGCAGAAAAAGCACCGGCUAACUACGUGCCAGCAGCCGCGGUAAUACGUAGGGUGCAAGCGUUAUCCGGAAUUAUUGGGCGUAAAGAGCUCGUAGGCGGUUUGUCGCGUCUGCUGUGAAAUCUGGGGGCUCAACCCCCAGCCUGCAGUGGGUACGGGCAGACUAGAGUGCGGUAGGGGAGAUUGGAAUUCCUGGUGUAGCGGUGGAAUGCGCAGAUAUCAGGAGGAACACCGAUGGCGAAGGCAGAUCUCUGGGCCGUAACUGACGCUGAGGAGCGAAAGGAUGGGGAGCAAACAGGCUUAGAUACCCUGGUAGUCCAUCCCGUAAACGUUGGGAACUAGUUGUGGGGUCCAUUCCACGGAUUCCGUGACGCAGCUAACGCAUUAAGUUCCCCGCCUGGGGAGUACGGCCGCAAGGCUAAAACUCAAAGGAAUUGACGGGGACCCGCACAAGCGGCGGAGCAUGCGGAUUAAUUCGAUGCAACGCGAAGAACCUUACCAAGGCUUGACAUAUACGAGAACGGGCUAGAAAUAGUCAACUCUUUGGACACUCGUAAACAGGUGGUGCAUGGUUGUCGUCAGCUCGUGUCGUGAGAUGUUGGGUUAAGUCCCGCAACGAGCGCAACCCUCGUUCUAUGUUGCCAGCACGUAAUGGUGGGAACUCAUGGGAUACUGCCGGGGUCAACUCGGAGGAAGGUGGGGAUGACGUCAAAUCAUCAUGCCCCUUAUGUCUUGGGCUUCACGCAUGCUACAAUGGCCGGUACAAAGGGCUGCAAUACCGUAAGGUGGAGCGAAUCCCAAAAAGCCGGUCCCAGUUCGGAUUGAGGUCUGCAACUCGACCUCAUGAAGUCGGAGUCGCUAGUAAUCGCAGAUCAGCAACGCUGCGGUGAAUACGUUCCCGGGUCUUGUACACACCGCCCGUCAAGUCAUGAAAGUCGGUAACACCUGAAGCCGGUGGCCCAACCCUUGUGGAGGGA